Molecule: long non-coding RNA, 1498 nt
Organism: Herpailurus yagouaroundi (jaguarundi)
Lineage: Eukaryota; Metazoa; Chordata; Mammalia; Carnivora; Felidae
Exons: 2
Source: RefSeq, a predicted model, not a curated record
CCACACAACACGCUACUUACAACAAGGCGGACUCUCCACAAGUUCGAAAUUUAGAUCGUGUGGCACCAUCCUAACGCUAGCAUCGUGUUUUUCCAGGAACUUCUGCUACAGUUCACACGGAUAUGCCCUCUGACCCCACAUUGCUGCAGAAGACGAGAGAAUGAAUCAGCGUUUGCCGUAAACGAAACACCACCACUCUGGCAAUCUUUUGAAAGAAGUCCCUGUUUUCAGAGAAGCAGACUCACACAGCUUGUCAAACCUUUUUAGGGGCUGAGGGCGACACCAAAGUCCUUUUGUCAUUGGUCUUAGGGAGACCUUCCUGUAUCUGACUGCGGGCUGGGGUCAGGCCUCUCCUCAGGCUGACCCCCCGACCUCCUGGGCCCCUCCUCUGGCCCACAGCUCUGCCUCCCCUGAGUCACGUGUGCUGCUCUUCGAAGCAGCUAGGUAGCGGGAGGCAGCCUCAGCGUCCCCAGGAGGGCUAGGCACUGACGUGUGCCCCAGAAGCAAGACCCUUCGUUGACACUAAUGAAGUCAGCCAGCUCUGUAGUAUAAAAGGCAGACCUCCAUUUUAGCUGGCUUUCUGGGAAAUUUGUCUUUGCCCUUGGUUUGGCUUUUAGACACUACCUUUUCCUCAGAAGGACACAAGGCCCAAGGAAAUAAUGCCACCACACACCUUGCACACGUGUAUGUAUUCCUCCUGUCUGAACUGGGCAGGGGAAGUAGGGGGCACAUGCUGUGGAGGUGGAGGGGAGUGGAGGGCAAGCAGGGGCAUAGCUAGAAGUUUCUGUACCGUGAGUUUCUCCCCCGCCUUCUCUUGCUGAAGCAUACAGAGCCCAAUUAUAGGAAAACCCCUCCUCGCACCGCAUCGCCAAAGCCAAGUAAAUAACGAUCCCCAGGCCUACCAUAAGCAUUUAUUGAGUGUCUAUUGUAUGUAGAUGUCAGCCAUUUCACCUUUGCAUCUCAAGACAUAGUCCAGUUCCCAGGGCUGAGUAGGCUCUGAACAGAGAUGCAGAGCAGGUGGGGGAUGUCGGGGCGUCAGGGCUAGAGGCGCUGGGAAGAGCUUCCAGACAGAGAUGCGUUCCUAUCCCACGAAGUUUAAGGCGUUAGAUCACAACUAGGUAAGCUGGGAGCACAGAGCAUCUCAAAGAGAAAGCAAUAGGGAGGAGACCAUGAGGCGGCCCUUCAGCACCUGCACUUGCACUUGAUUGACAAGUCACCUGAAGGCAGGAUAAUUAAAGUGAUCACAGAAUCUCACAAGAUGCUUAUUCUUUCCUCGAAUAAUCCAGAAGAAGGAGUUAAAAACCAGCACUUAACAAGCCAGCACCCUCAGACUACUCAGGACUCCCAGACCCUGCAGGCAGGCGCCAAGGCGAAGGAGGUGGAGCUGGGAAUAAGAAAGCUGAAAAAUCAUUCUGGAGGAUUCAGUGCGUAUUGGCCCAUUCCAACUCCACUGGCCAAAAAGCAGUAAAGAACCUCAAGAUGUCUGUAGUUGUUCAAA